This 494-nucleotide ribosomal RNA is filed under the name uncultured bacterium. RNAcentral's name for it is "partial 16S ribosomal RNA". It matches the Rfam family "Bacterial small subunit ribosomal RNA", at positions 28 to 507 of the family's 1533-position model. The record is from RNAcentral.
GACGAACGCUGGCGGCGUGCUUAACACAUGCAAGUCGAACGGAAAGGCCUGCUUUCCCUUGUGGUUUGCGGGUACUCGAGUGGCGAACGGGUGAGUAACACGUUAGUGAUCUGCCCCCAACUUGGGUAUAAGCCUGGGAAACUGGGUAUAAUUUCCGAAAAGACUGAAAGGUGGUGCAUGUGGUGGGAAACGAUUUUCUAGUGGUUGGGGAUGCGCUCGCGGCCUAUCAGCUUGUUGGUGGGGUAAUGGCCGACCAAGGCGGCGACGGGAAGCCGGCCUGGGAGAGUGGACAGUGACAUUGGGACUCAGACAAGGCCCCUACUGCAACGAGCGGCAGGAGUUGGUGAAAGUGCACAGAAGGCGGAAUACAGAAACGCCGACGCCGCGAAGAAGAUCACGGAGUUCUAAUAGUCAACUCCUAUCGACCACGAGGAAGGAACCUAGUUGGAAGCGUGGUGACGGUAGUGUUCGAGGAAGCACCGGCUAACUACGUG